AGCGAACGCUGGCGGCAGGCCUAACACAUGCAAGUCGAACGAACCUUUCGGGGUUAGUGGCGGACGGGUGAGUAACACGUGGGAACGUGCCUUUAGGUUCGGAAUAACUCAGGGAAACUUGUGCUAAUACCGAAUGUGCCCUUCGGGGGAAAGAUCUAUCGCCGUUAGAGCGGCCCGCGUCUGAUUAGCUAGUUGGUUGAGGUAAUGGCUCACCAAGGCGACGAUCAGUAGCUGGUCUGAGAGGAUGAUCAGCCACAUUGGGACUGAGACACGGCCCAAACUCCUACGGGAGGCAGCAGUGGGGAAUCUUGCGCAAUGGGCGAAAGCCUGACGCAGCCAGGCCGCGUGAAUGAUGAAGGUCUUAGGAUUGUAAAAUUCUUUCACCGGGGACGAUAAUGACGGUACCCGGAGAAGAAGCCCCGGCUAACUUCGUG
RNAcentral lists this ribosomal RNA (434 nucleotides) under uncultured bacterium. Its description in RNAcentral is "partial 16S ribosomal RNA". It matches the Rfam family "Bacterial small subunit ribosomal RNA", at positions 29 to 507 of the family's 1533-position model. The record is from RNAcentral.